RNAcentral lists this long non-coding RNA (1414 nucleotides) under Olea europaea subsp. europaea. Lineage: Eukaryota; Viridiplantae; Streptophyta; Magnoliopsida; Lamiales; Oleaceae. The record is from RNAcentral.
UCUAUAUUUGGCAGAGUUGAUUCAAAUUUUUUGAGAGACAUUUUUCACCAUGUGUUUACUUUUUAUUUGUUUAAACAUAUUAAACUGACUAAUUUAAAUGUGAAUUUAUAUAAAGAAUCGGCCUUAAGGAAUUUGACCAUAUUAUUAUGGAAGAGCCAUGACUGCAUGUACUAGAAUUACUUUUUCUCUGCUUCGAUUGAUUUUGUUUAUUUGGAUAUAUGAUUUACAUUUUCGUUAAUGGAAUGUGCAAGAAGGGUAUGAAGAAACAAGACUGAAGCAGAUCCACAUUCAGAAAAUGGGACAACCGAUUAAUAAACACGUACAGGGCUGUCUGUCAAAGAUUUUAAUAAAAGUGAAUGAAAUUCGUGAUUGAAAAGUUGUAGAUUCCAAAAAAUCAGUGGUAACUUCGACAAUAAUAUGCUGAAAUGGAUUCAGCCACCACUUGGGGUUUGACAGCGGUAGAAUCCAUUACUUGAGGGAUGAAAAGUAAGAGAAGAUUAUUGAAUACAAGAAAAAGAAUCACAUUAAUUCCCAGAGAUUUGUCAACUAAUAUAAAGAGAAGAAUAUACUUGAGAAUGGACUUAUAGUAGAAAUCAAUAACAUCUUGUUUCAUUUGCUGUCAGGAUAGUGUGGUUCGGUAUAUUUGGUACGUUAGGUCAGGCAUGGCUAGAGUAGGAAAGUGUAGUCAUUAUAUCCGAAGAAUCAAAUACUCAUUGUAUUGACUAAAGGAAUGGAGAGUUUAUUUCUUUAAACUUCUCUACCAAAAUAAAAAUCAAAUUUGGAAUCGUUUGGAGAUGUUUCUGUUAAUUAUGUUUUGAAUUAAAAUAAAUUGCAAAUUUAGAACUGUUGACUUCGAGAAUUGGACCCUCCACGUGGCCAGUGGAUAGCUACUUCAGUAAUCCUCUCUGUACACAACAACGCACGGUCAGAAGCACACGACCGGAAACACCGGUGGUGGUGGCGACAGCCGCAUACACUCUGACAAUCAAGUCAACGUUAGGUGAUCGAAACAGUGCUCAAGUUAUGCGAGAGAGUGGGGGGGAUAAUAUCUAUUUCUUAGUGUGGAGAGCUAAGUUAUGUGAGUUUCAUUGCCUUUGUCUCUUGUCAAACCUUUGGUAUUUAUAGACGUACGGCACCAUUGGAUGUGGAACACGUAUAUGCAUCUGACGGUGUGAGACGUUUGCACAUAGGCGUCAAUCAACCGUGUCUAGAGUGGGCGGACAAUUAGUUCUUCUGAGUUGAGUUGACAUAAAGUCGAUAUGUCACAUCAGCUAGAUCUAUGGAGACGUCACAUCAAUUGAUCCUUGGAGGCAGAGAAGAUUCUAACAGAUAUCUUUCUGACAGUGGCGACAGAGAGAUCUACUAAGGGGGUACUUCGGAGUGCCCAGUGCUUCGGAGUUGAGGGACACUUCAG